This 204-nucleotide ribosomal RNA is filed under the name uncultured bacterium. RNAcentral describes it as "partial 16S ribosomal RNA". It matches the Rfam family "Bacterial small subunit ribosomal RNA", at positions 28 to 233 of the family's 1533-position model. The record is from RNAcentral.
GACGAACGCUGGCGGCGUGCUUAACACAUGCAAGUCGAGCGGUAAGGCCCUUUCGGGGGUACACGAGCGGCGAACGGGUGAGUAACACGUGGGUGACCUGCCCUCAGCUCUGGGAUAAGCCUGGGAAACUGGGUCUAAUACCGGAUAUGACUCCAUGACGCAUGUUGUGGGGUGGAAAGCCUUGUGCGGCUGAGGAUGGGCCCG